RNAcentral lists this ribosomal RNA (252 nucleotides) under uncultured bacterium. RNAcentral describes it as "partial 16S ribosomal RNA". It matches the Rfam family "Bacterial small subunit ribosomal RNA", at positions 524 to 776 of the family's 1533-position model. The record is from RNAcentral.
UACGGAGGGUGCGAGCGUUGUCCGGAAUCACUGGGCGUAAAGGGCGCGUAGGCGGCGCGGGCAGUAACGGUGAAAGCUUGGGGCUCAACCCCGAGUCGGCCGUCGAUACUCCCGUGCUUGAGCACUGUAGAGGCAGGUGGAAUUCCGGGUGUAGCGGUGAAAUGCGUAGAGAUCCGGAAGAACACCGGUGGCGAAGGCGGCCUGCUGGGCAGUAGCUGACGCUGAGGCGCGACAGCGUGGGGAGCAAACAGG